CGGACGGGUGAGUAAUGUCUGGGAAACUGCCUGAUGGAGGGGGAUAACUACUGGAAACGGUAGCUAAUACCGCAUAACGUCGCAAGACCAAAGAGGGGGACCUUCGGGCCUCUUGCCAUCGGAUGUGCCCAGAUGAGAUUAGCUAGUAGGUGGGGUAACGGCUCACCUAGGCGACGAUCCCUAGCUGGUCUGAGAGGAUGACCAGCCACACUGGAACUGAGACACGGUCCAG
This 232-nucleotide ribosomal RNA is filed under the name uncultured bacterium. Its description in RNAcentral is "partial 16S ribosomal RNA". It matches the Rfam family "Bacterial small subunit ribosomal RNA", at positions 99 to 334 of the family's 1533-position model. The record is from RNAcentral.